AAAAUGUGAUGAAACAUAAAUAAGAUUGAUACUUACCUUUGUCAUGAUUUUGAAAUUGAUGUAAAGGGUCUUCUCUUCUUUUUGACAAUGACAAAGGGGGAGAAAUGUUGCUAGCUAGCUUACACAAGUCAAGAGAAGAUGCAAACGUACUUCAUGUAGUUUGCUUCAUCUAAAACAUUGUCUCUUGCUAGUUUGUUAUCUUGCAUUUUUGCUAGCUUGCACUUUGUAAGGGAAGC
RNAcentral lists this long non-coding RNA (236 nucleotides) under Musa acuminata (dwarf banana). RNAcentral describes it as "long non-coding RNA (MACU_LNC009183)". The record is from RNAcentral. Lineage: Eukaryota; Viridiplantae; Streptophyta; Magnoliopsida; Zingiberales; Musaceae.